Molecule: ribosomal RNA, 289 nt
Filed under: uncultured bacterium
Lineage: Bacteria
Description: partial 16S ribosomal RNA
Rfam family: Bacterial small subunit ribosomal RNA
Source: RNAcentral
AGAUUCCUACGGGAGGCAGCAGUGAGGAAUAUUGGUCAAUGGGCGCGAGCCUGAACCAGCCAAGUAGCGUGAAGGAUGACUGCCCUACGGGUUGUAAACCUCUUUUGCCGGGGAGCAACGGGGUCCUUGCGAGGUCCCAAUGAGAGUACCCGGAGAAAAAGCAUCGGCUAACUCCGUGCCAGCAGCCGCGGUAAUACGGAGGAUGCGAGCGUUAUCCGGAUUUAUUGGGUUUAAAGGGUGCGUAGGCGGGCUGUUAAGUCAGCGGGCAAAUGUCGGGGCUAAACCCCGG